This is a non-coding RNA of Sturnus vulgaris (Common starling), 8098 nucleotides long. The record is from RefSeq and is a predicted model, not a curated record. NCBI's taxonomy places the organism in Eukaryota, Metazoa, Chordata, Aves, Passeriformes, Sturnidae.
UUUUUAUUUGGAGGGAUUAAUUUAAAACCUUUUGACCUGGAUACUCAUUUGAUUUGGCUGUAGGAACUAAAUGAGAUGAGAGAUCACAAACAUGAGCUUAAGCCAAUGCUGUGCUCCCAUAAUCCUCCAAAAGCUGUUGGGGACAGCAGGUUUUGAAAGUGUAAUUUAGGAUGUCUCAUGGCUUCUCUUAAAACUGAGGUUGCUGCAGUAGCCUCCUUGGGCCUCCUCUGAACCGAGUAUCACCUGUACACAGUGUACCUGUCCUCAUCCCUCUGGCUUGUCUUGCUUCAUUCCAGCUGUUCCCACUUCAGGAAGGUGGCACCUCAGCCUGUCGUGGCAGUGCCAUAGGCCAGCGAGCAGCACAGCACAGUAGGAGCUGCUGUAGCCCUGGAGAGGAUGAAGAAGUGCCCAGUGAGAGAAUCUUCCUGAAAGAGUCCACUGCAUUUCUGUGUGAACCUUGCCCUGGGGAUAGGAGUGUUGGAUGUGUUUUGCUCAAGAGAGGAGCCCAGCCUUUGUUACACUCUCCUCAUGACUUAAGUAAUAUGUCACAUCAGUGUUCUGAUGCUGUCCUUUCAAAGGCACGGUAAUUAAUAUAAUUUAAAAUUUCUAGCCAAAUGAAUUCUGAUUUAGGAGUUGCACCCGUUUAUAGAAACAGCUGAACAAAAAUUCUCUUGGUCCCCAAAGGAAAUGAUUUAUCAUCUGUGACUGUGUGUACUGCACAAGAAGGAAGACUGUGGUAGUGUAACAGGUUAUAAUCUACCAUGGAGUGGUUGUGCAAAGCUGGAACUCUUGAUCUAUGUUGGAACAGCAUAAAAGGGGGAAAGAUGCAGUGGGAAAAUGUUACCUACAGAAAGCUAUCCAUAAAAAAAAGCAAACCAACUAGUAGGGUUACUUUCAUAUAAAGAAGGCAGUGUAUUUAAGUUGCCUAUGCAUGUCUUGCCCUUUUUUCUACUUGUUCUCCACAUCUUGGUGAUGAUGUGUAUGAAUUACAAUUGCACUUGUGGGUAUGAGCUGAAAUAUCACUCUAGUCCACAAUUCCUUAGUCUGCUGGAAACUUCAAAGGCCUUCAAACCCUUUGUUUUUGUUGCUGGUUGGGGCCUUCUGGCAGCAGUGCCUGAGGUGAAGAUCAGCUGCAGUGAAGAGGGAAAGUGAUGGAGGAGCUGAAGUUGAGAGUUUGCUGCGUGGAUAAGAAAUGGUAGAGUAGCCAGUGAUGUUUGAUGCUUCUCUUCAAGGAUGAGAUUGAAUUACAUAAGGUCGCUCAAGCAUUCUCAGAAAUGAAGACGUGUUUUCGUAAUUUUCUGGAAUAACAUUUUAUCAGUGAAAGACCAAGCAUUAAGUGGUAAAGUCGCUCCUGAUAAAUAGUUAUGAUAUAAUUUAGACCUGCAUUCAGAAAAGCUGUAAGUGUUCUAUGUUUUAUACUGCAGUUCUGGUAAAUUAUUUGUAUGUGCAAUUCAGUAAGCCUUUUUUUUAAUAUCAGUAUAGGACUACACAGUUCAUUUUCCAUACAGUAAUGAAAUAUAUGUACUAUGAAUGUCAUUAUAGUAGCAUUCAAGAUUAUUUGGUUAGUGAACAAUAUGCCAUGACACUUCUUAUUCUUCCACAGCUGAAGAAUUUAGCAAGUUAUCUAGAAAAUUGUAUUGCUGGUAAUCAGUUCUAGGUGAAAAGUUUCUUGAGGAUGCUGAGUCUAAACUUCCUUUGUAGACAGCAGUUAGAAAAAACCUGCACCUGCAUUUCCUGUCUCAAUGCAUAUUGGUUUCAGCAUAGCCUGCCACACUGGCUGAUGGGGCUGUCUUUCAUUUUGCUGGUGAAAAAAGAUGGUGGGGCAGAGAAGAAAGGAAGACAGACCUGAAAGUAAAGGAUACCAGAUGGUAUCACAGAGUUAGGUAACUUCAAUCUUGAAAAUACCCAUCCAUAAAGAGUUUAAAUUAAUAUGGUUGAAUACUGUAAUACUUUAUCUGCUUAAAAUAUAUUUUAAACUACAGUUGGUUAAAAAUGUGUUAGGCAUGGCUGGAGGAACUGGGAAGAGUAUGCUGCGUUUGACUUCUCUGUGUUACCACCUUUCUUAUAAAAUUAGAGCUGGUUUCUAGAUUCACUGUUGUUGAGUUGGCAGUUGGUAAGGAUCUGUUCCUAACCACUUUGUCCAGAAGAUUUUCCAAGGGGAAUUCUGAAAAGAAUAUGUUUAUAAUCACAUUUAACAGAGUAUUGCUUUCUGCUUCACAUGGAUUUCUGCAAGAAGUAAGUUGGAUCAAGAUGCUCUAUCGACUGUCCCUGUUCAUCACUUCCACAAAGGAAGGAAGCAAGCUCAGCUUGAUGAGCACUUCUGCAGACCCUGUUCAUGGUUGUAGGCAAACUGGUUGCAGAAUGUAAGGCGAAGAAACUAAAAAUAGCACCUCUUGUUUGUGGCAGACUUUCUGCUAGUCCUUGUUUCUGCCUCCCCGUAUGUACAAAAAUAUGCAUAUUUAUAUUUUGGAGAAGUAAUAGUCUGUGGGAUAGACUAAAGCAAAUCAGCCAUGACUUUUCUAUGAGCUAGUGAAACAGUUCCUCAGAGACCAAAGAAUUACAAAAUGGGCAGGUUUUUAGGGAUGGCAUGGUUGAGUAAGAAAAAACCUUUUCAGGGGAAAAAGCUGAAGAGUCACUGUUCUCUUGACUCUGAAAGGCAAAACAAGCUUCCAUCUCUAUUUAGACGACAAGAAAAGUUGGCCCUGACAUUAUGAAGGUCUCAGAAGCAAAGAUGUCUUGCUCCCUGAAGGUAGGAAGUGUUUUUGUAGCAGAUGCUGUCUUGUUCUGCCUGCUCUUGGGCAGCCAUAGCAGCGACCAGCAGAACUAGAGCUGUGUAACUUCUUGCUGGGUAAAACUGCACUUCAACCGAAAAAACUCCCAGCCCCAAGACUAAACAAAACAAAAUCCACCAAAAAAACCCCACUCUAGCAGCCCUAGGAUAAGCUAUCAUCAUCCUUAUUUAAUGUCUUCUGUUUGUAACUUUAGCAAACCACUUAACUGGUCUGUGCUUUAGUUUCUUCACUGUAAAAUGAGGAGUGAAGGAGUAAUAAAGUUUAUCUUUAGUGCAGGCAUGCUUAGUAAUUUAAUUCAAGUUUGUAAAGUGUUCAAUGGUAAUUUGAUUUUAAUAAAAGAAUGUUCCUCUAUUGCAAAAGGAGCCUCUGCAGAAAUUUAUGACAAACCUGAUGAUGUGGAGAGGGAGCUUUAUCAGAAGAUCUGUUUAAGGCAGUAGAUAAGUCUCCUAAAAUCUGUUUUGGAAUCUGAUAGUUCAGCAUUUAUUGGGCAGCCUGCAUUCCAGAUGCUUGAUUAGUAGGAAUGAAGAGUCUGUGGAGAUGGUAAUAAGAAAUCUUGCCUAAUCAGGGUGAUGAAUCUUUGCUAUGCUGGAAGAUCAUGCAUUCUUUUGGACAAGCCAACCCAAACAUGCAACACCACCCUCCCUAAAAUCUAGGACCACCAUGCAUUUAGGAAGCUCUUCUGUUUCCCGUAUGUACCUCGGGUUCAGUGCUGUGAUCAGCUGUUGCUGGCUGUAUAUCUGGAGUCAGUUUCUGACCCACAGAAAAUAAACCACUUUUAUGUUUUGAAGAGAUAAUGAUCUGUGGCAUGGACUAAAGCAAAUCAACCGUGACUUUCCUAUGAACUAAUGAAACAAUUUCCAAGAGACCAAACAGUUACAGAGAGUGAUUAUUCUAUUUACCAGCCCCUCCAUAGGAAUCUGCCAACCACUCUGUUUCUCAUCAGUGAAGAAGAAAGUCACAAUGCCGGUGGCAUAAAAGCUGCUGGGCCAGGAUCCACACACGGUGACAUGGACAAAGAGCAGAUGCGUGCAGCAACUGGAGGAGAGAUAAAAGAGCCAUCCUUUAACCGCACUUGCGUCAGCCAAAUCACAACCAGCUGGGUUAUUGCACUGGGCAUUUGUGCUGAUCCACCACACGGCUCACGCAUCACACUACCCUCUGCCAAAGUUGGACUGAGUUUUGAGCCUUCUUGUCCUCCCUCUGUUUUUAGCCACUGGUUUAGUUGAGGGAUGAUGUAGGGCUGAGGUUCCCAGGGGAGGACUGAAUCUGUUGGAAGGAUGAGAGAAACUGUGACUCAGGAAAUUAAGUUCCUCCCCAGCAUGCAGCGAUGAAUGUGCAGACUAUUAUCCUUGCACUACUGCAACCUGUUUCCCUUGGUUGGUUGUAUUUUUGGACACUGGAGUGGCCUCUGUGUCUUCUCAUCUGCUUUUAGCUCAGAGGGAGCGAUUUGUAUUUCUAGAGGCAAGGUUCAAGAGCAGUCCUUGCAUGUAGUGCUCUGCACUCCAAGGCCAUAAGCUCAUGCAGGGCCAACUUCAUCCUCAGUCAAAGACAAGUCUCAGCUGGCUGACAGAGCUGAGUUUCCCAGAGCUUGGGAUUGUAGCUAAGCCAUGUGCCAGUAGAGUUUGGACUGCUAAGAGAGGUCCUAGAAGCAUCAAGGAAACGCCUGGUUUAUGACUAAUAAAAUUUAAUGAAGCUGCUUGACUGUCCAGUUGUAAGAAAAAAUGAGUCAGUAUGUGCUGGUUUGGACAAAAGCAAGGAAUUGCCCAUCUUGCAACCAUGAUUAAAACCAUUACAUCUACCACAUGCCGCCAGUUUCUAAUUUGUGUCAUGGCAAAACUGCUUUAGAAGAAAAAAGCAGACUAGAGUAUAUCCUGCAAAUAUGUUACAACAUAACUACUGUCCAAGUAUAAAUAUCUCUGUGGAGACUGUAAGGUGUCCCUGUAGUCCUCACCACUUUCACUCUGUGUGGCUCUCCAGAUGAUUUGUGUACAAGCUCUAGCCAGAAGGAAAUGGAGCAAUAUUUCUCUGUAUUUAUUCCCAUAAGAUGUAUCUCGCUAGUGGGGAUACAAAUCUCUUACGACUCAGUGUGUGAACGUUGCAGAAUUGGAUGAGGUUGGGUGCUGUUGCCCUUUCUGUUUCAGAGCUGUGGGAGGCUUAUCUAAGAGAUCAAAGUGCAUCAGAUUCCAUUAUUUCAGUAUCUAUGGGACAGUAUAAUGCAUGAAUGCUCUGGGACGAUGCCCGUGUCUGACUUUUAUUCAUCACUGUAAUUAAAGCCAGAUACAGAGCUUGUUCUGUGCACUGAACAUUAAUCACAGUGUUUUAUUAACAGAGUUGUCAAAAUCUUUAAUUCAGACAUCGUAUAAUUCUGCAGUAUAGAUUAAGACUAGUAUUUAUUUUGCCUGAAUACAUUAAUUUUAUUUAAAGUUCAGAAAGAGAAGGGAUUGCUCUCAGGUUUUGAACAAAUGAGUGCAAGCACUGCUUGACUGCUGACGUACGAAACUGCUCAACUGGUUUGGUUUGUACUGUUGCUUAACAAAAAGCGGUGAAUUUAUUGCUGUAUUCAGUUGAAAAUACAUAAAAGGUUCAGCAAACUAAUGCUCUAAAUUCAGAUUGAGUUAAGACACUAAAAUUAAUAUUUUAGCAUCGAUAGACUUUAGGUGCUGUAGUAAUACUUGCUUAAUUGCCAUUGUCAGUUUCGGAUGUUUUGGAAUUUCCCUUGGUUGUUUUCUGUUUAAAUAUCACGAUGUAGUGCAGUUGCAUCCAUAUAUCUUCAGUUUCGCUUAUGAAAUGCGCCUAAGACAUUGCUUUAGCGUCUGCUUCACAGAGUUCUUUAAUGUUGCAUCUAUGUAUUUGGAGACCUUAAGGCAGUUGUGGAUUGUCCCGUGGAGAAUGGUGUCCUUGGAAGUAUACUACUCUUCUUGGAAGGGAAGAGAAUCAGUUUUAAAAUUCAAGCAAAAAUAUUUAACUUUAAAUUAACUGUUAAUUCUUUACUUGGUUAGUGCUUUUUCACCUCCCAGUUCCCAGCUCUCCGAGUCUCUCUGGGCUGUUUUGGUUGUGCUCACAAGAACUAAUGAAAUCCCCUGUGCAGUCACUAAACUGAAUUACAGGCCCACACCUCUACUUGACCAUUUUUAGGGAUCUGCUGAUUGGAAGCUGGUGAGGAGCCCUGCAUAGGUAGUGAUGCACUAAGGUCUGUCCUGAGCUGAGAAAACUUUUCCUGCCCUGGUCUCCCACCUCUUCAGCUAAUGGCACCUUCAUGUUGCUGCAGUGGCUGAGCUGGCCAGGUACCCCAGUGGCUGGGCUGAGUUAGAUGGUGGCCUUUGGCCCAAACCUGAGUGAGAUGCUUGGUUAUUUUCCCACUGCCCUCGAUUGGAAGUGGGAAUGUGGUAUUUAAUCCACUGGAGUGGGUUUGUAUGAUAGCUCUCCUGGAGUUGUGCUGGCUUGUGUAUAAUCAUUCGAAUUGCAAAUGAGGUGCAGGGAGGGAUUUUAUAUUAUGUCUGAAUAUAGAUAAACUCCCUGAAACUUCUGAGACCUGAAGUUAUGUUUACUUUACUGUGUGGCUAAACUGCUGAAAGUAAGUUUACCAAAGAAUUCUCAUCCCUUCUGUAAAUAUAGUGGGUUUCUCAGUUUAAAGUGGAUGGAGUCAGGUAUUCAAAGAGACAGAGUUUAAUGGUGAGUUUUGCUUUUAAAAGUCCUUUAGGAAAUAAAAAAGUACUAUCCACACAAAAUUUCAUGCUCCAAGUAAUCUUUUAUUUCCUCUAGAAACUGUAUUCUUGUUCAAUGAGUAACCUGGUUUUUCCUGCCUCCCAGAAGAAGCAAGAUGACCUAGAUCUAGAGCUUCCUGGGGAAAAGUUCACUUCACCCUAUAUAUAGUGUCUCCUGAAGUGUCUUUAUGUAGCUGUCAUUUACUCUGAGCUGAUGAACUGAAAGAGAAGAGAGCUGAAAUUUUAGGCUGAGGUAGGAGAGUGUUUUAUCUCUCCUUUUUUAGGGGGUCUAUCUUAUGCAGAUGUCACUAACUGGAUUACAGCCAGGUGAAGGCCAGACUUCCCAACUUCCAGCUGGAACACUGAAUUUCAUGUCUCAAUGUGCUGCAGCUGAAAAAUGACCAAGUGCCUCUGUUAAAGGAGUGAAUUGGAUCCUGCCUUUGUGCCAACAGGAGUUUCUGCACAGGACUCAGAACGUGAUAUCCUAGGGUCAGCGUGUUCUUUGCUCUGGUCAGAUCACACAGAUGGAGACUCCUCCAAGCAGCCCUCCUGGCACAGUGGUGUUUUUAUUGGAGAGCAAAAACUGGGAAAAUGGUAGUAACAACUACAUAACAGAUACUACCAAACAGGCUGUUGGUGUUGAGGGAUCAGGCAAGUGUUUCCACCUCAGGGUGAUGAGUCAAACAGUGAAGUGUACUGUAGGCUGAGGGAAAUCUGCCCAUCCUUUUGUCAGCAUAAGGCUUUUUUUUAGAUACAGGAGAGUUUGUCUGAGUGCAUCAGCAACUUGAGCGGUUUGCACUUCUGCAGCCUUUCUGGGGACAGAAGGGUACUUUCCAAGUCCCUGCAGAAAGUGCCACUGCCUAAGGACACCACAAACUCCUCUCCCGGGACCUUCACCACACCAGGGCUGGUGGAACCCAUCAGUGCUCCUGUGGUGGGCUGUGUGCACCUCUGCAUGUGGAGAAAGCAGCAUCUGUGUUCAUUUAACUUCAUGGCAGGAUCCUGAUCCAGCACUUAAAAAUAACAACUUUAACAGGCCCAGCUCAGGAAUGAUCAUAGCCAAGGCCCAAGGAGAGGCUCAGAGCUGUCUCUGUGUUCAGCAGACCACUGGCUGAAACCAGGCAAAAAUGUGGUGUGCCUUGUGCUCAGUGUUGUUUGUGUAGAUGUUUCUGGGACAAGGAGGUGUGAUCUAACCUCCACUGCUGUCAAAAAGGGAUUGUUUCAUUUUUCCCUCCUGUUUUCCACAUGAAGCCAUGUUCUCUUCAUUCACUCUAUGGUGGCUCUGGUGCUUGGUGGGUCAGCUCAUACCAUUCAAGUGUCUGAAAUGGGUUGUCUUAUUCUUCCUCUGGUCAGAUUAGUGAAAUGAACUGACUUCCUGGUGGAGAUUUGAUUUAUCAGCACUCUUUGCCACCUGUAGAUUGCAUUUUACUUAGUGACAUCUGUGGAAAGAUCUAGAGAUGUUGGGUGUUAGAUGUGUGCUAUUACUACCAAGUAUUAGAGAAGUUUGGGCUUUUCUGUGUUGAAAUUAAGGCUAUACUUGGACUUAACUGUGUACCAGAGCAUGCACAGGAUCAGUGUGUGAGUCAUUGACACCAUGGUGGC